Molecule: ribosomal RNA, 818 nt
Filed under: Pseudomonas sp. T10(2009)
Lineage: Bacteria; Pseudomonadati; Pseudomonadota; Gammaproteobacteria; Pseudomonadales; Pseudomonadaceae
Description: bacterial SSU rRNA
Rfam family: Bacterial small subunit ribosomal RNA
Source: RNAcentral
UACCAUGCAAGUCGAGCGGAUGAGAGGAGCUUGCUCCUUGAUUUAGCGGCGGACGGGUGAGUAAUGCCUAGGAAUCUGCCUGGUAGUGGGGGAUAACGUUCCGAAAGGAACGCUAAUACCGCAUACGUCCUACGGGAGAAAGCAGGGGACCUUCGGGCCUUGCGCUAUCAGAUGAGCCUAGGUCGGAUUAGCUAGUUGGUGAGGUAAUGGCUCACCAAGGCGACGAUCCGUAACUGGUCUGAGAGGAUGAUCAGUCACACUGGAACUGAGACACGGUCCAGACUCCUACGGGAGGCAGCAGUGGGGAAUAUUGGACAAUGGGCGAAAGCCUGAUCCAGCCAUGCCGCGUGUGUGAAGAAGGUCUUCGGAUUGUAAAGCACUUUAAGUUGGGAGGAAGGGCAUUAACCUAAUACGUUAGUGUUUUGACGUUACCGACAGAAUAAGCACCGGCUAACUUCGUGCCAGCAGCCGCGGUAAUACGAAGGGUGCAAGCGUUAAUCGGAAUUACUGGGCGUAAAGCGCGCGUAGGUGGUUCGUUAAGUUGGAUGUGAAAGCCCCGGGCUCAACCUGGGAACUGCAUCCAAAACUGGCGAGCUAGAGUACGGUAGAGGGUGGUGGAAUUUCCUGUGUAGCGGUGAAAUGCGUAGAUAUAGGAAGGAACACCAGUGGCGAAGGCGACCACCUGGACUGAUACUGACACUGAGGUGCGAAAGCGUGGGGAGCAAACAGGAUUAGAUACCCUGGUAGUCCACGCCGUAAACGAUGUCAACUAGCCGUUGGGUUCCUUGAGAACUUAGUGGCGCAGCUAACGCAUUAAG